GACGAGGGGUCCUAGCGUUGUUCGGAAUCAUUGGGCGUAAAGCGUGUGUAGGCGGCCUUGCAAGUCAGUUGUGAAAGCCCCGGGCUCAACCCGGGAAGUGCUUCUGAUACUGCUUGGCUUGAGUACUGGAGAGGAUAGUGGAAUUCCUGGUGUAGUGGUGAAAUGCGUAGAGAUGUGGAGGAACACCGAUGGCGAAGGCAGCCCCCUGGGUCAAGAUUGACGCUCAUCGACACGAAAGCGUGGGGAGCAAACAGG
This 255-nucleotide ribosomal RNA is filed under the name uncultured bacterium. Its description in RNAcentral is "partial 16S ribosomal RNA". It matches the Rfam family "Bacterial small subunit ribosomal RNA", at positions 524 to 776 of the family's 1533-position model. The record is from RNAcentral.